UGAGGAAUAUUGGGCAAUGCCCGCACGGGUGACCCAGCAACGCCGCGUGGAGGAUGAAUGUCGUAAGAUUGUAAACUCCUGUUAGAGGGGAAGAAUAGUACCGGUUGGACCGGUAUAUGACUGUACCCUCAGAGAAAGCCCCGGCUAACUACGUGCCAGCAGCCGCGGUGAUACGUAGGGGCAAGCGUUGUCCGGAUUUACUGGGUGUAAAGGGCGCGCAGGCGGGAUAAAAAGUCAGUGGUGAAAUCCUACAGCUUAACUGUAGAACUGCCUUUGAUACUUUUAUUCUUGAGUUCGGGAGAGAGAGACGGAAUUCCAGGUGUAGUGGUGAAAUACGUAGAUAUCUGGAAGAACACCAGUUGCGAAGGCGGUCUCUUGGUCCGACACUGACGCUGAGGCGCGAAAGCGUGGGGAGCAAACA
RNAcentral lists this ribosomal RNA (421 nucleotides) under uncultured bacterium. RNAcentral's name for it is "bacterial SSU rRNA". It matches the Rfam family "Bacterial small subunit ribosomal RNA", at positions 355 to 774 of the family's 1533-position model. The record is from RNAcentral.